CUGUUAUAGUUAAUGAGUCUAUGUAUUAUAAAUAAAACCCUUGUAAACAUUAAUAUCAUUCAAUUGAAUUACAUUGAAGUUAAUCCUGCUUAACUUCUAAUCAUUCCACCUAAGCAGGCAGUUGGUACUCAACAGUUAAGUUGAAAAUACCUAGCUUCUGCUUUCUUCCGCUCACGUCGACCUCCUUGACAUUCCGACGAACGAUUGAACCCAAUACGUUGCUAACGACGACGGCAUCGGAAAUAAUAACGACAGACAACAAAUAGCAUUUCAUAGCACUUAAAAAAAAAAAGAGUGGUAUGUUAAUUUUUACACAAACCAAUAAAUUAAAUUAGGUAAAAAUUAAAAUAUUUAUUAUUUUUUAAAAUACGAAAUUUAGACCAUUAACCCAGGAAAUUAGAAAAGACCUAAAAUCUGAGCAAGUUUAGAAAAGAUGACUUAUUUUUGGAUUUUUUUCAAUUUUCCCUAAAAUUCGAGUUUUCAUUCACAAUAAUUUAAUAUCCGAACUUAACUGGAAAAUGAUUUUUAUAUCGUCGAAGUCCAGACCCAACGCCCUCCAUUCUCCGUUUCCCUAAUUUGUUAAUCUUUCGGUCAUUCCUGGUUUCCUCCCUUUUUUCUGCUCAAAAUUAGCCGUCGGCGAUAUUAUUCACUCGGUUUUUGAUG
This 663-nucleotide long non-coding RNA is filed under the name Zostera marina. Its description in RNAcentral is "long non-coding RNA (ZMAR_LNC004627)". The record is from RNAcentral. Lineage: Eukaryota; Viridiplantae; Streptophyta; Magnoliopsida; Alismatales; Zosteraceae.